CAACCUUGGGAUACCACUCUUGGGAUAUUGGGAUUCUAACCUGCGACCAUGAAUCUGGUCGGGGGACACUGUCAGGUGGGCAGUUUGACUGGGGCGGUCGCCUCCAAAAGAGUAACGGAGGCGCUCAAAGGUUCGUUCAGCACGGAUGGAAAUCGUGCACUGAGUGUAAACGCAUAAACGAGCCUAACUGCGAGAAUGACGGUUCGAGCAGUAACGAAAGUUGGAGUUAGUGAUCCGGCGGUAUGUGAAUGGAAAUGCCGUCGCUCAACGGAUAAAAGCUACCCUGGGGAUAACAGGCUGAUCUCCCCCAAGAGUCCACAUCGACGGGGAGGUUUGGCACCUCGAUGUCGGCUCAUCGCAUCCUGGGGCUGAAUUCGGUCCCAAGGGUUUGGCUGUUCGCCAAUUAAAGCGGUACGCGAGCUGGGUUCAGAACGUCGUGAGACAGUUCGGUCCCUAUCUGUUGCGGGCGCAGGAAUAUUGAGAGGAGCUGUCCUUAGUACGAGAGGACCGGGAUGGACGUACCGCUGGUGCACCAGUUGUUCUGCCAAGGGCAUAGCUGGGUAGCUAAGUACGGACGAGAUAAACGCUGAAGGCAUCUAAGCGUGAAACUCCCCUCGAGAUAAGUGUUCCCAUCCU
RNAcentral lists this ribosomal RNA (636 nucleotides) under Butyricicoccus sp. AF22-28AC. RNAcentral's name for it is "partial 23S ribosomal RNA". It matches the Rfam family "Bacterial large subunit ribosomal RNA", at positions 2187 to 2820 of the family's 2925-position model. Lineage: Bacteria; Bacillati; Bacillota; Clostridia; Eubacteriales; Butyricicoccaceae. The record is from RNAcentral. RNAcentral also lists the same sequence under 1 other name.